UCAAACUUGGUCAUUUAGAGGAAGUAAAAGUCGUAACAAGGUUUCCGUAGGUGAACCUGCGGAAGGAUCAUUAAUGGUUUUUGCUUGAAGGGCUGUAGCUGGCCGCAAUUGUAGGCAAGUGCACGCCUGGAUUGUCAGUGUUAUCCACACAACUCCCUUGUGCACAACUGUAGCGCUAGCCCCGCUACGUUUGUUCGUCCAAUAAAACGUGUAUGCGUGCGCCACGUUUGCGCUAAACGAAAAAGACUUUUGGGGAUUAGACGAUGUCAUAACAACUUUCAGCAACGGAUCUCUUGGCUCUCGCAUCGAUGAAGAACGCAGC
RNAcentral lists this unclassified non-coding RNA (322 nucleotides) under uncultured fungus. RNAcentral's name for it is "partial contains small subunit ribosomal RNA, internal transcribed spacer 1, and 5.8S ribosomal RNA". The stretch from base 1 to 73 matches the Rfam family "Eukaryotic small subunit ribosomal RNA", at positions 1759 to 1831 of the family's 1831-position model. Lineage: Eukaryota; Fungi. The record is from RNAcentral.